Acinonyx jubatus (cheetah) is the source of this 1537-nucleotide long non-coding RNA. RefSeq lists it as uncharacterized. The record is from RefSeq and is a predicted model, not a curated record. NCBI's taxonomy places the organism in Eukaryota, Metazoa, Chordata, Mammalia, Carnivora, Felidae. The transcript is spliced from 10 exons.
CCUCCGGCCACUGGGGGCGCUCCUGCCGCAGACCCCCGCGAGGCUUGCCGGGCGGGCGGCGGCGGCCGGGGGCCGCCGAGGGCUGUGGCGCCGGGGCGGGCUCUGAGGGGACCCUGGUGCUAGGGGCCGUCCGUCCUCCCAGCCUGGCAGCUGGGGGUUCGUGUCUGCGCGCGUCCGCGGCGCCUAGGUGGCCUUUGCUCCUCCAGCCCCCAUUGAAGGACGUUUGUCUGUUGCAGUAGUUCUCAAAGUGUGGGCCAGGGACACCCUGGAGCUUCCUGAGAUCCUGUGAGUUGCAACAAUCACUUGUACAGCAUGACUGACUUUCUCUCUGUGAGAUCUGCAACCAGCCACCAGUGGUGUGGAGGAGGAGGUGACAGAUCCAAGUGUCAACUGCUGCUGCUGCUGCUGCUGAUCAACUGCUGAGAUGAUGAUGGGAGUUUAAGUUCACUGUGAUUUCCACACCGAGAAUUUGAGGAAGACCAACAAGGAGCUCGGUGGGCUGGGGCUCAAGGAAGACACAGCUCUGGUACUGUGUCAUUUAAGCCUGGAACGAUCCAAAUGGGAUUUGAGUCUACAAACUGAAUCAUGGCAAGGAGUGUCAAGUCUGAGUGCAUUGUGUGACCCCCUCAGAAGAGGGGAGAAGAGAAGAGAGAAAUCCUGCAUGUGGAUUUCCCCAGACUUCACCUUUCUCCUUAUGGUCCACCUGUGUGUCCUUGCUACAUCACUACAAUAAGCCUUAGCUGUAUCUAGGUAUCACCUCAGCCUGACCAAGUGGACUCUCUGAAGAUGGGCCCAGGAGCCACAAUUCUAAUAGCUCCUCUCAGCUUUCAUCAUUUUUCACACCUUGGCUCCCACCCAUAGUGAAAAGACUAUCAAAGAAGAUGGGAAAUUCCACAGUGUACAGCUCUGCCAGGGGACUGUGGCCUCUACUGCAGCCCUCUUCACAGGACCCUGGCUUCAGCCUUUCCCACUCUGCAUCUCCAGCUGAUGCCCUCACAUCUGCUUUCACCUUGCUCAAAUUUGCAGGCUACCCACAGAAAAAAAGACUCUUUCACCACUCCAUAGUCAAUGCCACUGACACCGACACCGACUGUCGUCCUUGAAACAGUGUGGUUGGCCAGGCUGGGUUGCAACUGGGCUUCACUAACCAGCAACUUCUGAAGCUCAUUCUCCUUGGUGAGAGAGAGAGAGCACACACGUGCAUGCAGCGUACACACCUGUGAAUGGGGGAGGUGCAAAGAGAGGGAGAGCCUAAGCAGGCUCCGUGCCCAGUGUGGACUGUGGGACCAUGACCUGAGCUGAAAUAAACAGCUGGACACUCAACCGACUGAGCCACCCAGGCGCCCCAUACAGCUUCACCCAUUGUAACGAAAGUACCACAGCAUAUAAAAUAUUAAUAACAGAGGAAACUGUGUGUGUGUGGUGGGGGAGGGAAGGGUGAAAUAUGGGAACUCUGUACUUUCUGCCCAACUUUCUGUAAACAUAAAACUGCUCUAAUAAAUAAAAUCUAUUAAUUAAAACAGAACAGCAACAAAAA